RNAcentral lists this ribosomal RNA (452 nucleotides) under uncultured bacterium. RNAcentral describes it as "bacterial SSU rRNA". It matches the Rfam family "Bacterial small subunit ribosomal RNA", at positions 29 to 526 of the family's 1533-position model. The record is from RNAcentral.
AACGAACGCUGGCGGCAGGCUUAACACAUGCAAGUCGAACGCACCCUACGGGGUGAGUGGCAGACGGGUGAGUAACGCGUGGGAAUCUACCCAUCCCUACGGAAUAGCUCCGGGAAACUGGAAUUAAUGCCGUAUACGCCCUUUUGGGGAAAGAUUUAUCGGGGAUGGAUGAGCCCGCGUUGGAUUAGCUAGUUGGUGGGGUAAUGGCCUACCAAGGCGACGAUCCAUAGCUGGUCUGAGAGGAUGAUCAGCCACACUGGGACUGAGACACGGCCCAGACUCCUACGGGAGGCAGCAGUGGGGAAUAUUGGACAAUGGGCGCAAGCCUGAUCCAGCCAUGCCGCGUGAGUGAUGAAGGCCCUAGGGUUGUAAAGCUCUUUCAACGGUGAAGAUAAUGACGGUAGCCGUAGAAGAAGCCCCGGCUAACUUCGUGCCAGCAGCCGCCGUAAAAC